This 915-nucleotide ribosomal RNA is filed under the name uncultured archaeon. Its description in RNAcentral is "bacterial SSU rRNA". It matches the Rfam family "Archaeal small subunit ribosomal RNA", at positions 1 to 922 of the family's 1478-position model. The record is from RNAcentral.
UUCCGGUUGAUCCUGCCGGAGGCCAUUGCUAUCGGUGUCCGAUUUAGCCAUGCGAGUUGUACGUAUAACGUAGCAAACUGCUCAGUAACACGUGGCCAAUCUGCCCUAUGGACUGGGAUAACCUCGGGAAACUGAGGCUAAUCCCGGAUAGCACAUCCAGCCUGGAACUGGCGGAUGUGUGAAACGCUCCGGCGCCAUAGGAUGAGGCUGCGGCCGAUUAGGUAGACGGUGGGGUAACGGCCCACCGUGCCGAUAAUCGGUACGGGUCAUGAGAGUGAGAGCCCGGAGACGGACUCUGAGACACGAGUCCGGGCCCUACGGGGCGCAGCAGGCGCGAAACCUUUACACUGCACGCCAGUGCGAUAGGGGGACACCGAGUGCGAGGGCAUAGAGCCCUCGCUUUUCUGUACCGUAAGGUGGUACAGGAACAAGGGCUGGGCAAGACCGGUGCCAGCCGCCGCGGUAACACCGGCAGCCCAAGUGAUGGCCGAUAUUAUUGGGCCUAAAGCGUCCGUAGCUGGCCGGGCAAGUCCGUCGGGAAAUCCACGCGCUUAACGCGUGGGCGUCCGGCGGAAACUGUUCGGCUUGGGACCGGAAGAUCCGAGGGGUACGUCUGGGGUAGGAGUGAAAUCCCGUAAUCCUGGACGGACCACCGAUGGCGAAAGCACCUCGGAAGGACGGAUCCGACAGUGAGGGACGAAAGCUAGGGUCUCGAACCGGAUUAGAUACCCGGGUAGUCCUAGCUGUAAACGAUGCUCGCUAGGUGUGGCACAGGCUACGAGCCUGUGCUGUGCCGUAGGGAAGCCGUGAAGCGAGCCGCCUGGGAAGUACGUCCGCAAGGAUGAAACUUAAAGGAAUUGGCGGGGGAGCACUACAACCGGAGGAGCCUGCGGUUUAAUUGGACUCAACGCCGGU